RNAcentral lists this ribosomal RNA (617 nucleotides) under uncultured bacterium. Its description in RNAcentral is "bacterial SSU rRNA". It matches the Rfam family "Bacterial small subunit ribosomal RNA", at positions 262 to 870 of the family's 1533-position model. The record is from RNAcentral.
GGCUCACCAAGGCGAUGAUACGUAGCCGACCUGAGAGGGUGAUCGGCCACAUUGGGACUGAGACACGGCCCAAACUCCUACGGGAGGCAGCAGUAGGGAAUCUUCCACAAUGGACGAAAGUCUGAUGGAGCAACGCCGCGUGAGUGAAGAAGGUUUUCGGAUCGUAAAACUCUGUUAUCGGAGAAGAACGUACUUGGUAGUAACUGGCCAGGUAGUGACGGUAUCCGAUCAGAAAGCCACGGCUAACUACGUGCCAGCAGCCGCGGUAAUACGUAGGUGGCAAGCGUUGUCCGGAUUUAUUGGGCGUAAAGCGAGUGCAGGCGGUUUUUUAAGUCUGAUGUGAAAGCCUUCGGCUUAACCGAAGAAAUGCAUUGGAAACUGGGGAACUUGAGUGCAGAAGAGGAGAGUGGAACUCCAUGUGUAGCGGUGAAAUGCGUAGAUAUAUGGAAGAACACCAGUGGCGAAGGCGGCUCUCUGGUCUGUAACUGACGCUGAGGCUCGAAAGCGUGGGUAGCAAACAGGAUUAGAUACCCUGGUAGUCCACGCCGUAAACGAUGAGUGCUAAGUGUUGGGGGGUUUACCGCCCCUCAGUGCUGCAGCUAACGCAUAAGCACUCC